AACGAACGCUGGCGGCAGGCCUAAAACAUGCAAGUCGAACGAACCUUCGGGUUAGUGGCGCACGGGUGCGUAACGCGUGGGAAUAUGCCUCUUGGUGCGGAACAACGUCUGGAAACGGACGCUAAUACCGCAUAAUAUCUACGGAUCAAAGAUUUAUCGCCAAGAGAUUAGCCCGCGUCUGAUUAGCUAGUUGGUGAGGUAAUGACUCACCAAGGCGACGAUCAGUAGCUGGUCUGAGAGGAUGAUAAGCCACACUGGAACUGAGAACAGGUCCAGACUCCUACGGGAGGCAGCAGUUGGGAAUAUUGGAAAAGGGGGGAAACCCUGAUCCAGCCAUGCCGCGUGUGUGAAGAAGGCCUUAGGGUUGUAAAGCACUUUCGGCUGUGAAGAUAAUGACAGUAGCAGAAGAAGAAGCUCCGGCUAAAUUCGUGCCAGCAGCCGCCGUAA
This 447-nucleotide ribosomal RNA is filed under the name uncultured bacterium. RNAcentral describes it as "partial 16S ribosomal RNA". It matches the Rfam family "Bacterial small subunit ribosomal RNA", at positions 29 to 523 of the family's 1533-position model. The record is from RNAcentral.